Molecule: small nucleolar RNA, 94 nt
Organism: Podarcis muralis (Common wall lizard)
Lineage: Eukaryota; Metazoa; Chordata; Lepidosauria; Squamata; Lacertidae
Product: small nucleolar RNA SNORA11
Source: Ensembl
GCGGUGUGCUCAGAGCAGCCAUGGCAGAGACUGUAGCCUGGCUGUUUAUACCACACCGUAGAGAAAAGCAUAUAUUCUGGCAGCCCAAACACAU